Molecule: ribosomal RNA, 390 nt
Filed under: uncultured bacterium
Lineage: Bacteria
Description: bacterial SSU rRNA
Rfam family: Bacterial small subunit ribosomal RNA
Source: RNAcentral
AUUGAACGCUGGCGGCAUGCCUUACACAUGCAAGUCGAACGUGAAAGGGGGGCAACCCCCGAGUAGAGUGGCGGACGGGUGAGUAACACAUCGGAACGUACCCAGUAGUGGGGGACAACCUCGAGAAUCGAGGCUAAUACCGCAUACGACCCACGGGUGAAAGCGGGGGACCGCAAGGCCUCGCGCUAUUGGAGCGGCCGAUGUCCGAUUAGCUUGUUGGCGGGGUAAGAGCCCCACCAAGGCGACGAUCGGUAGCUGGUCUGAGAGGAUGAUCAGCCACACUGGGACUGAGACACGGCCCAGACUCCUACGGGAGGCAGCAGUGGGGAAUCUUGCGCAAUGGGCGAAAGCCUGACGCAGCGACGCCGCGUGAGGGAUGACGGCCUGGUU